Molecule: ribosomal RNA, 315 nt
Filed under: uncultured Bacteroidota bacterium
Lineage: Bacteria; Pseudomonadati; Bacteroidota
Description: uncultured Bacteroidetes bacterium partial 16S ribosomal RNA
Rfam family: Bacterial small subunit ribosomal RNA
Source: RNAcentral
CGAAUAAGCUUSGGUUWCUUCUGUGCCACCAGCCGCGGUAAUWCGGGGGAUGCAAGCGUUUUCCGGAUUUAUUGGGUUUAAAGGGUGSGUAGGGGGCMAUUGUAAGUCAGCGGUGAAAUUUCGGAGCUCAACUUCGAACGUGCCGUUGAUACUGCAGUGCUUGAAUGCGGAUGCCGUGGGAGGAAUGUGUGGUGUAGCGGUGAAAUGCAUAGAUAUCWCACAGAACACCGAUUGCGAAGGCAUCUCACGAAUCCGCUAUUGACGCUGAGGCASGMUCCCUUGGUAAUCWAACAGGAUUAGAUWCYCUGGUAGUCC